AUACCGAUAGCAAACAAGUACAGUGAUGGAAAUUUGAAAAGAACUUUGAAGAGAGAGUUAAUAGUACGUGAAACUGUAUGGUAGUAAACGCAGCCUCCCUCGAAGUGCAGCAUUGUGGACCCAACCUAAGCGUGUAGUUGCAUGGCUGUCUGUCCGGAGCCGUUAAAAGCCUGGUAGAUGCUGUGGUUUCAGCUGUGCGUCGCGGGUGCAUUUCUACAUGCUUGACUGUAGGAACUGUUGGACUUGGACUGAAGGCCCAGGGUGGAGACCGAACUGGCUGUAGUGGCCGGCACGGACCCCGUCGGUGUCCUGGCUCCUCGUUCGACAGGCAAUUAGGCCGGCGCUUAUAGAGCGCAAUCGUUGCUAUUGCAACCGGUCGUUCCCUACAGAGUAGGUCGGCGAAGGCUGCGACCCGUCUUGAAACACGGAC
RNAcentral lists this ribosomal RNA (430 nucleotides) under Candacia bispinosa. Its description in RNAcentral is "eukaryotic LSU rRNA". It matches the Rfam family "Eukaryotic large subunit ribosomal RNA", at positions 331 to 666 of the family's 3401-position model. The record is from RNAcentral. Lineage: Eukaryota; Metazoa; Arthropoda; Copepoda; Calanoida; Candaciidae.